GACGAACGCUGGCGGCGUGCUUAACACAUGCAAGUCGAACGGAAAGGCCCUGCUUUUGUGGGGUGCUCGAGUGGCGAACGGGUGAGUAACACGUGAGUAACCUGCCCUUGACUUUGGGAUAACUUCAGGAAACUGGGGCUAAUACCGGAUAGGAGCUCCUGCUGCAUGGUGGGGGUUGGAAAGUUUCGGCGGUUGGGGAUGGACUCGCGGCUUAUCAGCUUGUUGGUGGGGUAGUGGCUUACCAAGGCUUUGACGGGUAGCCGGCCUGAGAGGGUGACCGGCGAGACGGGGAAUGGGACACGGCACAGAGGCAUAAGGGAGGCAGCAGGAGGGAAUCGGGGGCAAGGGAGGGGAGUCGGAGGGAGAAAGGCCGAGGGAGUGAAGAGGGUGUUCGGAGAGUAAAGGUGUGUGGUAAGAGAAGAAAGGGUGUGAGAGUGGAAAGUGCACACAGUGACGGUAAAGUACCAGAAAGGGACGGAUAACUACGUG
Molecule: ribosomal RNA, 489 nt
Filed under: uncultured bacterium
Lineage: Bacteria
Description: partial 16S ribosomal RNA
Rfam family: Bacterial small subunit ribosomal RNA
Source: RNAcentral